ACGUGUCCGAGCGGUUAAGGAGUUGGACUUGAAAUCCAAUGUGCAUGUCACGCCUAGGUUCAAACCCUAGCGU
This 73-nucleotide transfer RNA is filed under the name Pavlova sp. CCMP459. It matches the Rfam family "tRNA", at positions 5 to 66 of the family's 71-position model. From Rfam's summary of the family: Transfer RNA (tRNA) molecules are approximately 80 nucleotides in length. Their secondary structure includes four short double-helical elements and three loops (D, anti-codon, and T loops). The record is from RNAcentral. Lineage: Eukaryota; Haptophyta; Pavlovophyceae; Pavlovales; Pavlovaceae.